UUUUUUUUUGAAGAUUUGAGGAUUUUUCGUUACAAAAUCAUCAACUGGCAAGGACGUGGUGAGGAUUUUUUACAAAGUUUCAAGUAGAACUCAUAUGAAGAAUUGAAUAGACUCGGUGAGAGUAGCAUAGAGGGAAACUAGGGUCCGAUCACAUUCACUUAGAUGAAAUAUCAAAUUUAAGAAAUAGCUAUAAGUGAAUGCUUUUG
Molecule: long non-coding RNA, 206 nt
Filed under: Hordeum vulgare
Lineage: Eukaryota; Viridiplantae; Streptophyta; Magnoliopsida; Poales; Poaceae
Description: long non-coding RNA (HVUL_LNC003902)
Source: RNAcentral